GAUGAACGCUGGCGGCGUGCCUAAUACAUGCAAGUCGAGCGAACGGACGAGAAGCUUGCUUCUCUGAUGUUAGCGGCGGACGGGUGAGUAACACGUGGAUAACCUACCUAUAAGACUGGGAUAACUUCGGGAAACCGGAGCUAAUACCGGAUAAUAUUUUGAACCGCAUUGUUCAAAAGUGAAAGACGGUCUUGCUGUCACUUAUAGAUGGAUCCGCGCUGCAUUAGCUAGUUGGUAAGGUAACGGCUUACCAAGGCAACGAUGCAUAGCCGACCUGAGAGGGUGAUUGGCUACACGGGAACUGAGACACGGUCCAGACUCCGACGGGAGGAAGCAGUAGGGAAUCUUCCGCAAUGGGGGAAAGCCUGACGGUGCAACGCCGCGUGAGGGAUGAAGGUCUUCGGAUCGUAAAACUCUGUUAUUAGGGAAGAACAUAUGUGUAAGUAACUGUGCACAUCUUGACGGUACCUAAUCAGAAAGCCACGGCUAACUACGUG
This 497-nucleotide ribosomal RNA is filed under the name uncultured bacterium. RNAcentral describes it as "partial 16S ribosomal RNA". It matches the Rfam family "Bacterial small subunit ribosomal RNA", at positions 28 to 507 of the family's 1533-position model. The record is from RNAcentral.